This 790-nucleotide ribosomal RNA is filed under the name uncultured haloarchaeon. Its description in RNAcentral is "bacterial SSU rRNA". It matches the Rfam family "Archaeal small subunit ribosomal RNA", at positions 560 to 1346 of the family's 1478-position model. The record is from RNAcentral. Lineage: Archaea; Methanobacteriati; Methanobacteriota; Halobacteria; Halobacteriales; Halobacteriaceae.
CAACAGGUGGGCGUCCGGCGGAAACUGUGUGGCUUGGAACCGGAAGGCUCAGAGGGUACGUCCGGGGUAGGAGUGAAAUCCCGUAAUCCUGGACGGACCACCGGUGGCGAAAGCGCCUCAGGAAGACGGACCCGACGGUGAGGGACGAAAGCUAGGGUCUCGAACCGGAUUAGAUACCCGGGUAGUCCUAGCCGUAAACGAUGCUCGCUAGGUGUGGCGUAGGCUACGAGCCUGCGCUGUGCCGUAGGGAAGCCGUGAAGCGAGCCGCCUGGGAAGUACGUCUGCAAGGAUGAAACUUAAAGGAAUUGGCGGGGGAGCACUACAACCGGAGGAGCCUGCGGUUUAAUUGGACUCAACGCCGGACAUCUCACCGGCACCGACAGCAGUAAUGACGGUCAGGUUGACGACCUUACUCGACGCUGCUGAGAGGAGGUGCAUGGCCGCCGUCAGCUCGUACCGUGAGGCGUCCUGUUAAGUCAGGCAACGAGCGAGACCCACACUCCUAGUUGCCAGCAAUACCCUUGAGGUAGUUGGGUACACUAGGAGGACUGCCGCUGCCAAAGCGGAGGAAGGAAUGGGCAACGGUAGGUCAGUAUGCCCCGAAUGUGCCGGGCAACACGCGGGCUACAAUGGUCGAGACAGUGGGAAGCGGCACCGAGAGGUGGAGCUAAUCCCCUAAACUCGGUCGUAGUUCGGAUUGCGGGCUGAAACUCGCCCGCAUGAAGCUGGAUUCGGUAGUAGUCGCGUGUCAGAAGCGCGCGGCGAAUACGUCCCUGCUCCUUGCACACAA